This 27065-nucleotide long non-coding RNA is filed under the name Lynx pardinus (Iberian lynx). The record is from RNAcentral. Lineage: Eukaryota; Metazoa; Chordata; Mammalia; Carnivora; Felidae.
CUCUUGGUCUUCAUUUCCAGAUAUCGUCUCUUCUUUUGACCACUGUUCCUGAUUGUGGCUUUGUCCAAGCAUUAAAUUGCGUGCCUUUUGUUCCUUGAAGAAGGAGGUAUGGUAAAGAUUGAAGUAUUAUAGUAGUAGUCUAUUAAGCAGUAAGUUAAUAUGUUUUGAUAUGGGACAAAAAAAUAAGAGUUACGAGUUUUCAUAAGUUAUAGUUUUAUGUUUGGCUUAAAUAAAAAAUACAGAUUUCCUUUUAAUGUUGGCAGAAAAGGUAGUUUUGGUUUCCUAGUUUGUUAUUUAACAUUUCAUUAGAAAUCUAAAGAUAAUUUAAGCUGUAUUUUUCUAAACAUAAAGACAACAUUAAGGGCUUCUGGGUAAUGAACGAUGGAGACAUAUAUGGUAGGAAGAUGUUUUGAAGUUGUAUAAAUGACCAGAAGAGUGUUUGUGUUUUGCUCUGGUAAGUGUAAAGUAAUGCUCCUAAAAAAAACCCCCGAUAUUUAUAUCAUGAUUAACGGUAUCUACAUUAUGAAUCAGGAAAGAUAUUUGGGAAUCACUGUGGAGUUAUGACUUGUUUCCUGAAGGCAAUCAUCUGAACAUCCUGGUGUGAACAAAAAGAAGGGGGAAAAUCUGCCAUCGAAUCCAUGGUAUUGUAAGGAAAGCUUUGCAAACUCAGUGGAAAAUAUUGUACUCUUGUACAAAAAUACAGUUUAUCUACCGUGGAAGCACAGUUUUUCUUGCUGUUUGUUUUGGGUAGGUACUGAGAUACCACAGUAUUAUAAUUCCCCUCACCAAAUGCAAUAAGUAUACCCAGAAACAUAACUCUAAAUUAGAAAUAAGAUUAUGUACGGGACACCCGGGUGGUUUAGUUGGUAGAGUGCCCGACUUCAGCUCAGGUCAUGAUCUCACGGUUCACGAGUUUGAGCCCCAUGUCAGGCUCUGUGCAGACAGCUCAGAGCCUGGAGCCUGCUUCGGAUCUCUCUCUGCCCUUCCCCAGCUCACUCUGUCUCUCUCUCUCUCCCUCUUUCGAAAAUAAAUAAACAUUAAAAAAAAUAAGAUUAUGUAUAUAACUACUAAAAAAGUGGAAGAGGACUAUACCAACUGAAAUUAUUACUUUACUAAUCAUAACCAUGUUUUGCCAUGAGUUUUACUAGCAGAUGGUUUUCUUUUCAGGGUCAUUUUUCACAAAGGCAGGAAUGUUUUAUUUUAUUAGAAGUUAAUAUCUAACAACUACAGUGAGUACAAAGCAACAAAGCUUAGAUACCAGGUUAUUAUUUAUGUUCAUUUAUAUGUGUAAUUUCUUCCUACAUAACAAUUGUUUGACCUCUAACUGAAUUAGGUUUGCAUGGGUACUGUGUUGUUUUCUGAAUAAAGUAAAUGCUGAGUGCUAAAAAUUUUCUUUACUGUGUUUGAUCCAAAAUUCUCAGAAGAAGUUACACAAUGAAGAGUGAGAACUUCAAAUGUAAUGAAGUAAACAAGAGGCUGCUGUAUGAUGACUUACCAAAAUGAUUUGGAUUAUUCCAUCUUGAAAAAUUGUGAGCAGAGUCUGACUAAAUUUUAAAUUUACUUUUUAUUUUUUUAAGUUUACUUACUUAUUUUGAGAGAACACGUGAGAGAGAGAGAGAGAGAGAGAGAGAGUGCAAACAGGGAAGGGGGCAGACAGAGAGGGGGAGAGAGAGAAUCCCAAGCAGACUCUGCACCUUCGCAAGGAGCCUGAUAUGGGACUCGAACCCAUGAACCAUGAGAUCAUGACCUGAGCCAAAACCAAGAGUCAGGCGUUUAACUGACUGAGCCAUCCAUGUGUCCCUGACUAAAUUUUAAAAUCGUGAUCGGUAUGACUGCAUGAAAUAGGUAUCAGAAUUAAGUUGCAUGACUUGAAGCUUAGGAUAAUUAAGUAGGUCUCACGUGGGUCUUAUUUUAAGAAGUGGUAAUAGCCAAAAACAAAUAUUGGCUUUGUGGAAAGUCUAGUAAGUGCAAAAUGUGGUAAAAUCGUCACCAAUUCCUAAUUAAAAUUGGGUUGUUAGAGGUUAUAGCUGGUAGAAAAAAAUUAGGCAUAUAUAUGUUUUUGUUGACCUUGAACAAUGUGGGGGUAGGUAGAUUUCCAAUUCCAUGCAGUUGGAAAUCUGUGUGUAUUCUUUUGACUCCCCUAAAAUUUAACUGCUAUAAGCCUUCUGUUGAUUGGAAGCCUUACUGAUAGCAUGAACAGUUGAAUAACACAUACUUUGUAUAUGUGUUAGAGGCUGUGUUCUUAAAAUAAAUGAGGAUAAAGUAGGCUAGAGAACAGAGAGUGUUAUUAAGAAAAUCAUAAGGAAGAGAAAUAUAUAUUUGUAGUACUGUAUUGAAAAAAAUCUGUGCAUAAGUGGACCUGUGCAGUUCAAAGCUGUGCUGUUCUAGGGUCAGCUGUAUGCUAAUUUGCUCAACUCCGUACCUCUUCAUUUGGGGAAUCAUCUCUUCGCCUAUCAUGUGUGGUUGAUAGGCUGCCUGUCAGUCGUAUACUCUUAUAACCCAAACCUAGUCAUCCCUAUUGCAACAGUGAUUGCGUAUUGAUCCAGCAGAGCCAAUUAGAAUCCUGUGACAUUGAUGUAUGAAUGCUAGGAGAAAGAUGCUCCCUUUUUUUCUGAAGUUAUUAAUCUGGGUGUUAGUAGGAUUCUUAUUAAUUAAUUCAGAUUAACUCUUAUUAAUCUGGGUGUUAGUAGUAGGGUGUUAGUGCAUUCUUUCCCACAUGUAUAAGAACCCUAUAUGUAGUAGGAGAAAGUGAAACCAUAAAUAAAUGGGAGAUAGGUUGAGGUAGCAUGCCAAUUUCAGUUCCAGGGACUGUGGUAUGAGAUAUCUAUGGUUUUCUUUUGAUUCUGUCAGCUACCGUGGUGUCCUUUCCAGUCCCAUGAGCCAAAAUUUUAUAUAUAAAUUAGUUUGAAUUGGAUUGCAGCAGAAAAUGUUCUGAUGAAUGUUUGGCCCUUAUGAAUUUAAGGUCUAUAGCUUCAAGUUGACCAUGUCCAUCUACAAUUUGCCCUUUUCUUCCACCUUAUGAAGAAUGCCCAUUAUUCAUUCAUCAUUCAUGUAUACAUUUAGUCCUUCAUUCAACCUACAAACAUUUGUUGAGUGUCUACUAUGUACAAGUAUGUGCAGCUGCCUGGAUAGUCAAGGAUUGUACCUACUUGCUGAGGAUGAUGGACUUCCUUUAAUGUAGCACAUUUUUAUAUACUUAGGUUACACAGGUCAACAAGAGUGUGAUGAGAAUAAUCAGUGCUGUGCUCAGCAUUUUAGUAAUAUGAAAGAAUAAAAGGAAUUGUUUGCCUUCAAAGUGUUUACAGUUUAGUUAAGGAAUCCAGAUUAAUGUGUAUGAAAUGACACAAACAACAGGUAAAUGCAUAUACAUUCAUGUAGUCUGGAUAUUAAAUCUGAGUUCUGAUAGAAAGGAAAUUAGUGAGGGCUAGAAGGUUUCUUCAAGGAGGUAUGAGCGCAAAUAAGUUUUAACUUAUGAGUCAUUUUGAUAGGCACAGAAUAAUUGAGGAAAGGAUGGAGUUGAAAAUGACUAAGGACUGAUCCAAGAUAGGGAGGAGAUUGGUUUGACUGUAACGGUUUGUAUUUUGGGGAAAUGAGAGGUAGUGAUAAUAAGGUUGACUAUUUUAGGUAAAUCCACGUAUGAGGCAUUUGGAAAGCCAAACAAAUUUUAUUUUCUGUUAAGGUGGAGAUUGCUUUGAAUAAAAUGUUUAUAUUUCUUUGAUGCCAUUUUUGUGAUGCUAAGGUGCAAAAUAAGUGUAAUCAAGUGAUGGAAAUUUACUUGUUGUGGAAAACAACUUGUUAUAUUUUCUGCCUUGGAAAUUUUUUAUUUUUAUUUAAAAAGAUUUUUUUUAACAUUCAUUUUUGAGAUAGAAAGAGUGAGCGUGGGAGGGGCAGAGAGAGAGGGAGAGACAGAAUCUGAAGCAGGCUCCAGGCUCUGAGCUGUCAGCACAGAGCCCUAUGCGGGGCUCAAACCCACAAACCGUGAGAUCAUGACCUGAGCCAAAGUUGGAAGUUUAACCGACUGAGCAAUGCAGGCACCCCUGCCUUGGAAAUUUUUUAAAAACAAUCAUUAAUUUGCGGUGUUGUUCUGUUUUAUACAUAUUAUACACAUAUAUAUAAAAUUGGUUUCUUUUUUCUUACCUGCCCCUUUUUGAGAGAUCCCAUAGUAACAGUGGCAUAACCAUACCCUUCCUCUAGAGAAACAGCCAGUUCAAAACUAACGUUGCAAUAGAUGUAAAAGCAUUCUGAAAGAGAUAAGGAAUUAAAUUAAUGUUUGAUUGCUCACAUAACAAUUGUUUUGAGCUCCAGAUACUAGGAAUGAUGUAUAGGUUAAUGUGUCAUUCUUUCAUUAAAUGCUGUUGUUAACUUCACCCUUUUUCAGUAACCAGUUAGCUGAUAUUCAACUCAAGAGAAUUAACAUUUGGAACAUUCCUGUAUACCAGGGUUGGCAGACUUUUGCCGUAAAUGGCCAGGUAGUAUAUAUUUUAGGCUUCGUUGGCAGUAUGAUCUCUACACCUAUCAGCUGCUGUUGGAACACGAUAGCAGCCAUAGACCAUAUGUAAAUGAACAAGUGUAGCUAUGUUCUAAUGAAACUUAAUUUACAAAAAGCAGCAGGCCACAUUUGGUGCACAGGGUGUUGGUGUGGACCACCUGUCAUAGAUUUAAUGAGACAUUUUAUGCCACAGCUUCUCAUAAUCGGAUCUUCCCACUAUCUUCCUCUCUAGUAACUAUGGAUCAGUUAUCUUUAUUAUUUUCUAAGUUUACCUCUCCUACUUGUUCACUUUUUUUUCCUUCAUCAUCACUUCUUAUCUUUCUGUUAUAUCAUUUUCAUAAGCACGUAAUCAUACUGUAAUUUCUCCCAGUUUAAAAAAACAAACAAAAAAUAACUCCAUUUCAAUUCCUUUGUCUUUUGGCCUUUUAUAGUAAAACUCCUUAAAAGGGUUGUCUCCCUUUUAUAGUAAAACUCCUUAAAACGGGGCACCUGGGGGGCUCAGCUGUUUGGGCGUCUGACUUGAUUUCAGCUCGAGUCAUAAUUUCACAGUUUGUGAGAUUAAACCCAUGAAUUAUUGUUAACAUGUCUCUGCUGGUGAUGUGGAGCCUGCUGGGGAUUCUCCCUCCCUUUCUGCCCCUCCCCUGAUUGAGCACGCUCUCUCUCUGUCAAAAUAAAUAAACAUUAAAAAAAAAAGUUAUCUGUACUGCAUCUAUAUCUCCCUUUUUUUCCUCCCAUUUUCUCCUAAAUCCAUGCUAGUCAUCCCUUCUAUAUAACCCCACUGAAACCAUUCUAAUCAGUGUCACCAAUGGUCUUGACAUUAAGUCCAGUGGUCAAUUCUCAGUCCUCAUCUUACUUGAGAGAGUUGAUCAAUACCUGAUCCUGGAAACACAUUGUUCACUGCUUUCAGGACACCACUCUCUUUACUUACCUCAUUGGUCAUUCCUUUCAUCCUUACCAGCUGGUUCUUUCUCCUCUUUUUCCUGUAAAUGUUGUAGCAUCUUGAGGCUCAGGCCUUGGACUUCUCUCUUUGUGUACUUACCCCUUGGUGAUUUCAUUCAAUUCUAUAUACAUGAAUACAUACACACACCAGUGAUUCCCAAAAUUUUAUCUUACAUCCAGACCUCCAUAUUCUGUAUUCAGCUACACAUCCACAUUUCCACUUGGCUGUCAGCUAGAUACCUGAAAUUCCACUAAAACUGAACUCUUGAUAUAUAUUUUAUACUUAUUGUUCCCACUCUGUCUUUUCUGUAUUAAUAAAUAGCAGUUCAUUUCUUCAUUUGCUGAAGUUGGAACUUUGGGAGUUAUCCUUGACAUGUCUCUUUCUCACAGACCAAACGGAGUCUGUCAGCAUAUCCUUUGGCUCUAUCUUCACAGCAUAUCCACGGCCUAACCGUAUCACAUUCUCUCCACCAAGCCACCGUCAUCUCUGACCUGGAUGUUGUAGUGUAAUUAUCUCCAAAGUGGUCUUCUUGCUUUUACUCUUACUUCCUUCCCAAAUACUUUGUUCUUAACAUUGUAGCCAAAGUGAUCUCUAAAAAAUAAUUCAGCUUAUGUUACUUCUUUACCCCAAAUGUUCCAGUAGCUUUUCAUCUUGUUUAUAGUAAAACCAAAGUCCUUGUAGUAUCCCUCAGGCCUUGUGUCAGUUCCCUCAUUACUUCUUUGACGUCAUCUCCUACUGCUUUCUUCCCUGUGCUGUUUUCUUGUUCUAGGCCUACCGACCUUGCUCUUCUCUGAACAUGCUAGGGACGCUCCAUACUCAGGGUGUUAGCACUCAUUAUUUCUUUUCUUGGAAUGCUUUCUGCCUCAACGUUUUAAGAUCUUGGCUUAAAUAAGACUUUUUCAAAUGAGGGCUACCUGACUUCAUAUUUAAAAUUGCAACUCUGAAUUCUGCCUAUUUUUCACCAUAGGUAUUUAUCACCUUUGAAUAUGUUACACAUGUCAUAUGUAAUAGGAAUUUACUUAUCUUGUUUAUUAUCUAAAUAGCUAGUAGAGUGUUAUGUCCGUGAGGGGAGGGGUUUUUGUCUGUUUUAUUCAUUGCUGUAUUCUCAAUACUUAGAACAAAGACUGGCACAGAUUUGGUGCUAGCUACAUGCCCAACACUAUGUCAGAUGCUGGUGGUAUAGCAAAAAACAUGACAGAUGUGUUCCUUAUACUUAUGCAGUUUUUAUUUCAGUGGUAACGACAGAUAGAAAAUAAAUUGUCAAAUAUAUAAAAUAUUGCCAGAGGAAAAAAAAGUGUUAUAAAAAAGAAAUACAAGGAGCUUAGAGAAUAAUAUUUUUCUGGUUGAGAAGCAACGCUUUAUAUGUUGGGGAGACCCUUCUGAGGUAAUGACAUCUGAGCUGAGACCUAAAAGAUGAGAAAGAUCUAGGCAUUUGAAAACUAGGAGAAAGACCAAUUCAAUUCAAGCAGGGAACAGCAGGUGCAAAGGUCUGAGAUAGGAAAGGAGUAUUUGAGGAACUGAGAGGCUAUCUGUGGUAGCUUGCUGGAGUGCAUUUACAGAUGAGGAAAUUGGUAUGAGGUGAAGUUUAGGAGAGAGGUCCAGGACCAGAUGUCACUGCUCCUUGUAAGUCUUGGCAGAGAUUAAAUUUUGUUUUAAGUGCUUUGGGAAGCCACUGUAGAUUUUAAAGCAGGGAGCGUUGUGAUCUAUUUUAUAUUAAGAUCACGUUUGCUCCUGUGUGGAGAAUGGAUUCACAGGAAGGUGGUGGGCAAGAGAGAAGCAUGAAUGCCAGUUAGGUUAUUUUAAUCCAAGUUAUAGAUGGCAGUGGACUGAGAAGAUGGUGGUGGAGGUGGAGAGAAUUCAAGAUGUAUUUUGGAGAUAGAAUUGACAGGACUUGCUUAUGGAUUAGUGUGGGAGUAAGAGAAAGAAGGCGCAGAAUGAUUCCUUCACUUCUGGGAUGAGUAACUGGAUGGAUUGCGGUGCCAUGUUACUAUGGUGGGGCAGCCUGGGAAGUGGAGUUUGUUUCUGUCCUUGAGGCAGGUGCUUUAUAGAGCCAGAGAAAAAUGAAAUAGUUUAUAUUGUUUUGAGAAGCAGAGGGGAAAUGGAUUACAUGUUGAUACAUGUUCUCCCAAUCGAAUAGCCAUAAAUCUUGAUUCCCCCCCCACCAUGUGUUCCAAAAUCUUAAGUAAACUCUGCCUACUCUGAGUUACUGCCACAACAAAAUGACAAAGAAGAAAGGCACGAGAGAUGAAAUAACCUUUCUCCUUCCCAUACUAAAUUUGGUGGUCUUUAUUUCACUUUGGAUAGAUUACUUUGAUUUUUCUCCCAAUUCCUACAUAUUGAAAAUGUGAUUUCUGACCAUGUGAGAGAGAACGUGCACGUGCGCGUGAGCUUGUGUGUGUGUGUUUAAAUCAAAUUCCAUUGCAGCAAAAAAAGUUUACGUGAUCUGUAAUGUUUGCUAUUUGCUAUAAAGUCAUUUAAUCUGAAAUCACAGGAAGUCAGAUAUUUGGGUUGCAAAUAAAAGAAUGAGUCGGGAGUGUGUUAGGACCCUGUGUACCAAUCAUCUUGACUUUCGUGAGGCAUAAAUGAAAAAUAUAAAAUAGAACUUCUCUUUAAGGGAGGUAAAACUUAAAAAAUGAAAUGAUGUAACUAUAAACCAGUGUAAUGAAGUGGUGAACAAUGGCUGUACUUUAAAUGGAUAUGCAGAGAAGGGAGAGAUUAAUGUGUAUUGCAGAAGGUUUCGUGUGCCUAUAGGAGGUAGAAUUAGACAGGAAGUUUGACUAGUAUGGAAUGAAGAUAGAAGGGGAUGACAAGCCUGGUGAGAGGAAGCAGGAUGAACAAAGAUAAAUAAAAGUGUAUGUGUAGGUAGUGGAUAGCAUCUUAGAUAUUGGGCACUGUACCUUAUGGAUAAUGAGCAGUCAUCAUCUCAGUAAUAAGAAAUAAGAUUAAGGGGUGUUUGGUGGCUCAGUCGGUUAAGUGUCCACUCUUGAUUUCCGCUCAGGUCAUAAACUCGAGGUUUAUGGAAUCGAGCCCGGUGUAGGACUCUGCGCGGACAGUACAGAGCCUGCUUGGGAUUCUUUCUCCCCCCACUCUCUGCCCCUCCCCUGCUCAUGCUCUGCCCCUCCCCUGCUCAUGCACAGAGAGCAUGACAGCUCUCUGUCUCUCUCUCUCAAAAUAAAUAAAUAAGCUUUAAAAAAAAAAAAGAUGAACCUGAACUGCUUCUGUAUUUUAAUUUUUCCAUUUUGUACUCCUUCAUAAUUGUAUCAGUGUCACUAGCCUACCUGAGUGGUACAUGGCUCACAUGUAUUCUCGCAUUUUGAACAUUUCUGAAUCUGUACUUCCUUACAUCUGCAUAUUUAACUCUUUAUUUUUCUUUUCUGUUUAAGUUGUUUAUUAGGCCACAAAGAUUUGGAGGGAGCUGGCUUUUAUUAUGUGUGUAUAUGUAUACAAUAUGUAUGUGUAUAUAUACAUAUAUAUACAAAAUAGAUACACAUACACAUAUAUAUGUAUUAUAUAUGUGUAUGUAUAUAUAUAUAUAUAUAUAUAUUCUACAAAAUUUAUUCUUUCACUUGUUUAAAAUAUGAUAGGUAUUAGGGGCGCCUGGGUGGCUCAGUCGGUUAAGCAUCCAACUUCGGCUCAGGUCAUGAUCUCGCGGUCCGUGAGUUCAAAACCCCGCGUCAGGCUCUGUGCUGACCACUCAGAACCUGGAGCCUGUUUCAGAUUCUGUGUCUCCCUCUCUCUCUGACCCUCCCCCCGUUCAUGCUCUCUCUGUCUCAAAAAUAAAUAAACGUUAAAAAAAUAAAAAUAAAAAUAAAUAAAAUAUGAUAGGUAUUAUUAGCCCUGUAGGUGAACUUUUUAAAAACUUAAAAAACAGCUAUAAAAAAAACUAAGCCCAGAGUCUAUGUUUCAAGUCAUGAAAAGAUUAUUGUUUUGAAGGCGUUAUAUGGUUCUGCUUUGAAAAUAUGUUUUAGGGUUUUUUGUGUUUUCUUCUAGAUCCCUUUUAGACAGAACUUUACAUUUUUUCAGUAAGCUCUACUGAUGCAUGCUGCUUUUGUUUUACCUCUAGUUAUAUAUUCAUAUGACUGUUUUGAAUUCAGUUAUCUCUGUAGAAAAAAUUUGGUGAUUCAAGGAAUGAAAUUGUUAUACAAAAUAAUGACUAAUUAUAUUAGUCUUUCUAUCUGUGUAAUGUGACAAGUUAGGUUACAGAGCUACAUGCUAAGUUACAAAUGGGGCAAAGCUAAAAUCAGAAUUUUUUAGUUCUUUGUUUACUGUUUAAGCAACUGGAAUGUAAUAAAGAGCAUAUAGAUUCUUCCUUUUUAUACCAUUUCAAUAAAGCUAAAGACUGUAAAAUGUCUUUGCUUUUUAGUCUGUUGUAGACAGCAAACGAAACUCUAAGAAUGACGCUUUUUGAUUUAUUCUAUUCAAAUGUUCUUUAUCCUUGGUGUUUUACUUUGGGAAUCAUUUUUUUAAAAUUUUUCUGUGUGUUUCUUAAUAUGCAAACACUGCCAGUUCUGUGGUUCCUUACUCUUUAUGUGGAUUGUCACUUAGUUCUCUGAUUUUCCAACUUCUAUUUUUACUGUCUCCAAUAUAUCUUGCUUUCUAGUAGCAUUCUAAUAAUAUUUCUAAAAUAGUGCCUUUAUAACUUCUCUCUGCUCAUGGGCUAGCCAUGGCUCCUGGUUACCUUUCAUUUCAAGUUCAAAUCUGUCCUCUGUAGUCUGUUCUCACUUAACCUCCCUAUUAUACAUUUUCUCUGUGAUCUCAAUCCUGCAGUGCCAUGAGAGAAAAAUGCCUUUCUUCAGUGUUACUCCAUUUUUCUGGUCUGGAUAGCCUUUGCUCCUUUCUUGCAAGUUUAAGUCCUUUCCUCUUUAAAGGAUCAUCACAAAACCUACCUUUCUGUGAAUUAAAUGCAGUCAGCAUUGAUCUAUCAACUUAAUGCCUUAAGAGUCUUUAGUUACAAGUAAUAAAACUAGCUUAAGCUAGUUUAAGUUAGGGUAAUCUGAAAAGGAGGAAUUUAUCUUAAGGAUACAGAUUUCCUAGAAUUCAAGGGCAAGAAUAGAUGCAGGCCGCAGUAAAGCCUUGGUGGUAGUAACAUUGCCCUCUUGGUUCACUCUGGAGUACUUACGAAAGCUGAUGAUUCUCUCCCUGCUGUUUGGGUACGUUUGUCUUCUGUUAUGCCAUGCUGUCAUUCCCUAAAAGAAAUUAAUAUGUUGUCAGUAGUUUAGGACGUAUCUUUCUAUAGAUUUGUCUAUGCUUAUGCAAACAUACCCUCAUACUAUCUUUUCUCCUGACAUGAAAAUGGGGAUCUUUCCUCCUAAUUUAAAAAUGUAUUAUAUGCCGUCAUCUGCAACUUCCUUUUUUAAAAACAAACAAAAAAAUUCACAAUGAAAUCAAUUCAGUACGUACAUCUUUUUGUUUAUAAUGUUUUCGUGUGGAUGGAUGUUGCAUAAUUAAUCAUUUUCCUACAAAUGAACAUUUAAGUGAUACCGAUACAUAUGUUGUACUUUUAUUUAUGUAAGAUGGAUUGUUAAAAGUGCAGUUUAUGGGAGUAUACUUAGACAAUGUGUAGGAAAUUUAUCAUUUUCAAGGAAAAUAUAAAUUGCCUAAAGUGGCUCAAGCAGUGGAAACCCUGAAGAGCCCAGAAACUGUAGAAGAGCUUGCAAAGGUUGGAAGGCCUAAAAUCUAAAGAGGUACCAGGCCCAUGUGGUAUUUUUGGUGCAAUCGUGUAAUUUUAAGGAGUAGGCAAUUUUCAUGUUUAGUGAACUAAUUCCAGAGGAGAUGAAAUUGUGGAAAUUAUUCCGAUUUUAUUUUACAUAUUCUCCAUAAUGCCAACAUCAAAACUAUUAAAGAUAGCAGAAAAUUCUGAAUAAAAUUUUGUCAGGUCAAAACCAGCACUUUAUUAAAGAAAAAUAUGCUUAACUAAUGUAAAAACAGUUCAACAUUAUACUUGCUGUUCAUUUCAUUGUAUAGUAUACAGGUUUCCUUCACUAUCUGAAACAAGAGUGGUCCUAUGAAACCUUUUGUAGGCUGAAAAUGGUAUAAAGUGAAGAAACAAUUACCAUUCCUUUAGGUGGAAAAGUUUUGGGUGUUCUCAGAGCCAAAAAAUAACCUUAGUCUUAGGCUUUUCUGAUAUCUUGAGGCAUAUCUUGUUGGUGGAGGCAGAAAUAAUUGCGAUAAAAGCACAGAUGCUCACAAACACAGUUCAAAGCUAUGGCCAUGUUGAAUGCUGACAUGUUGAUUUGUAGUUCCUGGGGAAGGAGCUUGGUGGUGCCACUCACUGCUUGGGGUGUGCACUGCCUCUAUAAGAGCUCGCUGCGAACAAAGGCUGAAAGCUGUUUCUGCUCUUUACCUUUUGUGUAAAACCAUGUCUUUUGGUCAGCAAAAACAUACUAAUGUAGGUCUUGUAAGUGAAGUGGCAUAAUGCAAACUUUUUGAAAAGUGAACUUUCAAAAAGCAGGGGAUACCUGUAUAAAAAGAAAUAGUUGAAUUUAGAUCGUUACAGUUUUUCCUAUUUCUUUAUCUUUUUUCUUUUUAAAAAGUUUUUAUUAUUUUUUUAGUGUCUUUCUUUUAACAGUGUAUUGAGAUCAGGAAGCAUAUUGGUUGAUUACCAUUUGUUUUCUAUGUAAAAUACAUAAAACUUCUUAUGAAUGUAUAACUGCAUUUGUAAUUGUUACUCUGGUAGUGCCAACUUUUUUACUUUUUUAGGUAACAUCAUGGCUCACAAAUUCUUAAAUAAGCAAAAAAUUGCUUCUCAAUAGCAUGAAUUUAUAUACCAUGAGUGACCUCUAAUAGCACGAUUUUAUAUUCUUUGAGCAUUAUGUUUGCCUCCAAGUUUAUGGCUGUUAUACAGUCUUUUCUGCAGAGGUGUGAUUGGGUACUUGUGUACUGAUGUGAGGAGUGUAGUGUUGAAUGAUACCUAUUUUGUUUUGAUUUCCACCGUUUAGUGUCUACAUCCCACAAUUUUGUGCUGGCAUCAGGUUUGUUCAGAAAAAACUCAGUUGGUUUAUGGCAGAAUUCACUUGCUUUGUUUGAGAAUUUCAAAAUUUUCGUGGCUUCGUACCACUUUUUGAUAAAGUUUCAUAACUGUGGUCUAGACGCAAAGAGGUCAUUCUCCUCACAUCAAAAUGUAAGCUGUUUGCUUAUGCUGUGAUAAGGAGGUAUGCCAAUGUGGAGGCCGUAGUGAUCCAAGGACAACAUUUUAAGAAACAGUGACUUAGGAUACACUAGUAAUCACUAUAAACAUUUUUAUGUGUGUAUUCCUGACUUCUUACUAUGAGUCUGUAUGGGUCUAUGUCUCUUCUGUAUACACCUAUUAAUUUUUGAGCAGAUUAAACCCUAAUAUGUCUACUGUUUGUUUCUUGUUUUUUUUUUUCAUUGAAUGCAUCUUGGAUCUCUUCCUAUCAAUAAAUGUAGGUUUGCAGUAUUGUUUUUUUAAAAAAAAUUUUUUUUUUCAACGUUUAUUUAUUUUUGGGCAGAGAGAGACAGAGCAUGAACGGGGGAGGGGCAGAGAGAGAGGGAGACACAGAAUCAGAAACAGGCUCCAGGCUCCGAGCCAUCAGCCCAGAGCCUGACGCGGGGCUCGAACUCACGGACGGCGAGAUCGUGACCUGGCUGAAGUCGGACGCUUAACCGACUGCGCCACCCAGGCGCCCCAUGCAGUAUUGUUUUUAAAACAAUAAUAUUCCAUUAAAUGAAAAUACUAUAAUUUAUUUAUUUUACUAUUUUCUUUAAUCUUUUUUUUUUUUUUUUUCCAACGUUUAUUUAUUUUUGGGACAGAGAGAGACAGAGCAUGAACGGGGGAGGGGCAGAGAGAGAGGGAGACACAGAAUCGGAAACAGGCUCCAGGCUCUGAGCCAUCAGCCCAGAGCCCGACGCGGGGCUCGAACUCACGGACCGCGAGAUCGUGACCUGGCUGAAGUCGGACGCUUAACCGACUGCGCCACCCAGGCGCCCCUUUAAUCUUUUCUUUUUUAAAAAGCUUAUUUAUUUUGAGACAGAGAGUGCGCGCACACACACAACUAGGGGAGGGGCAGAGAGAGAGGGAGAGAGAAUCCUAAGCAGGCUCCCCACUGUCAGCGCAGAGCCCGAUGUGGGGCUUGAUCUCACAAACCAUGAUAUCAUGACCUGAGCUGAAAUGAAGAAUUCGACACUUAACUGACUGAGCCAUCCAGGCUCCCUGUGAAAAUACCAUAAUUUACUUAUUGGUGGACAUUUUGUUAUUUUUGAUUUUGUGAUUUUGUAAGCGAUGCUGCAAUGAGCAUGAUUAUUACCAUUAAGAUACCUUUCUAGAAGUGAAUCAGUAGUUCUAUACUUGCUUUCCAGUUGUGUAUAGAUUUAUAUUUUCUUGUAUAUUAAAAAAUAUAUACUAUUGUGUAUGUAACUAUAUGUAACAUAACUAUGAAUUGUUUAUAAUAAAUAUAAAUGAAUAUAUUACAUAGCAAACUGUUCUUUGUAAAGAUUGUAUCAUUAGUAUAUCAUAGUGACUCUGUUACUAGAAAAUGAAAUUUUAAAAACGAAGGCAUACAAAAUACAAGUCAAAAUGUUUAUUAUUCGAUUCAACAGAUAUGAAUUUAACUCAGUUUGCUACAGUAGUUUCUAAAUGCUUACUCUCAGUUUCCAUACAUAUGUCGUCAUGGACUAGUGACAGAUGUUUUAUGGACCAUCGGCAGGACCAUAUUUUUAGUAGCACUAUUUUAUUUUGGCCUAGGAGUCAACGUAGAAGGGGGCAAAAGAGGCUGGGGUGAGGUUUAUAUUUCAUCCAUAUACGGUCAUUUAAUCCUCUUGCUUUUGAUAUGGUACCCACUCUCUCACCUGUGUCUGGUAUCCCCUGUUUAAGAGAGUGUGUUUACUUUUUGCAGAGAAUAAACUGCUGCUGUGGUGGGGAAAUAGCAGUUACCUAGCCUGGAGUGAGAAAGGGAAUCUUGGCAUCAAACCAGAACUCAAGCAGCUUUCUCCAAAUUUCUCUUUGUUUUAGCUUUCUCCUCCCUUCUUCCCAUUUCAUAGUUACUUUGUACUGCCAGUUCCUAAGCCUUUCAAAGAUUCAGAGUGUAAAAUAGGUUAGUUCUUAGCUUUCGCCACUGUCUGUCUGGGAUUCAGUUUUCUUGGGUCUGCAGGGUCAUUUACUAAUUUUUCUGCUUUCCAGCAUUUAGGAAGUUGUUGCUAUUGUCAUGUUUCCUGUUUCCUAUUAAUUUUUCUUUAAGGACUCCUUACCUAUUUGUCAUGUUGUGAAUGUGCCCCUCCUCUAGUUUUUUUUUGCUUUUCUUAACUAUUAACAAAAUAUUUACUUUUAUUUCUAUUUUGUAGAUUUUGUUCUUGACAGAUAUUUCUUCUAUAACACAUUAUUCCUUUCUUUUAGUCCUUGUUUUUCUGAUUGAAAUUUGAUUUUGCUGAAGUAUUUACUUGAAACUUUAUUCCAGAAAGAGUACAUGUAUAGCGUAUUCUCUAAAUCAUUUUGCACAUCUAAAAUUGUGCUUUUCCCUCAUGCAUUUUCCUAGGUAUAGAAUUAAUUCUUUGGUUAAUCAGUUUUCCUCAGAACUCUAUAUAUUCUAACAUUUAGAAUUGUGACUAAAAUGUCUGAUUAAUAUUAAUUUCUGCUUAAAGUUGGCAUUGUUGAUGAAAAAUCAGAUACCUUUUUAGAUAAUUCUCCCUCUACCUUUUUUUUUGUAGCAUUUCAUUUUUUCUUUUUAAACUCAAAAAUUUGACUAGGAUAAGUUGUAAACAUUGAGGUUUAUAUUCUCUUCUCACUAAUCUUGCUUGACUUUUGAGGAACUUUUGAUUUUGAAAAUUCAGGUCUUUAAAAAAAAAAAACCCAAAACUCAAGAUUUUUUUCUUGUUUUCAAAAUCAUUAUUUCUCUGCUAUCUGCUACUUUUUUCUCUCCUUCAUGACAAUAUGUUCUUAGUUUUCUUUUUUUAGUAUAUCAUCUCAGGUCUUGCUAAAAUUGCCAAUUACUACUUGAUUCUUCCCCUCUAAGCCUUCUUUUUUCUGCAGUAGUGGCUUUCAUGUAGUUACUAUUUUUCAUUGCCGGAUGGGGGAAUGAGGAAGGGUUUCUCAGUGCUCAGUUGUUUUCUCUUUGUUGAGCUGUUUCAGCUAGUGAUGUUUCUGCCUACUCCCCUCCCCACCUUUUUUUUUUUUUUUUGAGAGAGAGAGAGAAUCUUAAGCAGGCUCCACACUCAGUGCAGAGCCGACAUGGGGCUUGAUCCCACAACUCCAGGAUGGUGACCUGAGCCGAAAUCAAGAGUCGGAUGCUCACCCAACUUAAGCACCCAGGUGUCCGGAGAUGAAUUCUUUAAGAAUGAACCAAUUUUUUUUUUCAGUUUUUUAGUUAAAAGGAGGUGAAAAGCUAAUGUAAUUUUUUCCUGACAGCUUAGAGAUAAUUUACUUAUGUCGAUAAAGGACAGAACUGUUAAACAGAGGAAGAUAGGCAUGGAUAGAGGAAGAUUUAUCUUUGUUCAGAAAUAAUUUUCUCUUUAUAUCUUUCUCAACAGCUGGUGCUAGCAACUCCCAGCUCGGCCCCUGGACCUAGCUCAAAACUCUGGAUUCAUUCUCUUCCUUCCCGUACCUCAGCCCGAGCUUUCUGUCUCCCCAAAGGGUACCACAUGAUCUUCCUCUCAAGUCCUCACUUCCUCGAAUCCCAAGGUAUGUAGGGAAGGAGUAGGCUGAAUUAUGUCCUUUACUUUCUUACGGCAUAAUAGAUGCUUAUUAUAUGUUAGUUAAAUGCAUGUCCCCUAGUGAAAUUCUUCCUUGAGAGUGGUGCUUGACAGUGAAUUAGCAUUUGUAUUCACUCUCCUCUCUCUGGACUCUAUCUUAGCAAACACGUUGCAGUAUGUGUAUGGAAUCUUUUUCUAGUUUCUUGUCAUUUUGUAGGUCUUUAUUGUAUUUUUUGGUUUGUGUUUCAGUGGGCAGUUGGAAGAAGGAAAUCAAACGGCUUAAGUUGCCACCUUGAUGCAGGAAACUCUCCAGGUUACUUGAAAGGGCCAGGCAUACUUUAUGCAAAUAGUAUUAUUUCAAGGCUUGAUGAGAUGUUGGUUAAGUCUUAUGAGGUAGUAAUAUGUAGAGAGAGGACAGUAGUUUCAGUGGCAGAUUUAAAAUCAGUAAUCUUUUUGGUAAGGUAAAGAUUGAACUGUAGUGAAAAGAGCAUUAGCUAGUAGGUUGGAAGAUUAUAAUUCCUCAUUCUUUUUUUUAUGUUUUCUGAUGUGUUCACAACACAAUACAUUUUUUUGCCCAUAGGUGGUAACCAUAUUGUAAUUUGCUACCAGGUGUCGUCUUUGAUUGCUUCCGCAUACUUAGGUUGAACAUAGUUGAAGACAAAUAGAUUUUCCCCAUUUCAAAUUUGAGGGUGAAAAACCCCAAACUACCUAAAAUACACAACCCCCCCCAAUGCUGUAUUGUACAUGCCAUACAUUAAAUAUGAAAAAAUAUUGAUACUCAGUAUUGAUUACUUAGCAGUUACUAAACUUAAGUAAAAGCUAAGUGGAUUUCUUAAUAAGGUGGUCCCUUUUAUUAAUUGUUUUGCCUAUGAGGAAAGGACGUGCACUUUAAUGGAUGGAAUUUGUGAACUCUGUUUUGGCUGCCAUGUAUCCCACUUAAUUAUUUUCUAUUCUUUGUGUCCUGGAACGGUGAGGUUGCUGAAAUGUCAACUCUGAACAAGCAAUGUAUUCAUGUAUAUGUCCUGCCUCUUCCUUUAGACUGUAAGCUGCAGUAGGGUAGAGACCAUGUUUUUGACUCUUUCCAUAGCACCCAGCAAAAUGCCUCACAAUCACAGUUGUUAUUUAUUAGUAAGUUUUGGUUGGUUGACUUGUUUAAAAUCCUAUUUUUAAACUGGUUGCCAGACUCUGGGGUAUGUGUUAUGUUAUAAGAAAAAUUUUAAAUUGUACAGAUAUUUUGAAAUGGAAUUGAUGAUAUUUAGAAAUCCUAUCAAUCUAUUUUUAGCAUUACCUAUAUAUUUUUGGACACAUGUACUGUUACCGCAAGAAACAAUUUGCCUUUUAUAAUAAAACCCACGAUAUAGUCUCCUCUUGAUUACAUGUAUAAUAGAAAGGCUUGAGUAUGGAUGGUCCAGAGUGACCAUAAUAUGAUAUUUAGGCAAAUGGGGAAGAACCAUUAUAGGUGUUCUUAAAAGUUUCACAUGUUUGAAUCUCACCCUUAGAUUCUGGUAUGGGGAAAACUCCAUAGGUGAUUAUGAUGCUGGUCACUGUUGAGAAUGUGACAGUCUGCAGGGAAUCUUCUCAGUUGGUGUGGAGUAUCCACCAGGUGUCGUGAACUUUCUUCUGGCCAUUUGUUAGUUUUUCUUACUUUCGAAGGAAAAGUUUUUACAUUUAGCUUUAAAUAAUAUAGUAAAUUUUUAGUAAAAAUUUUAAUAAUUUACUGAGUUAGACACAGUCUGUAAAAACAUUUAGGAAACCAGUGUGUGCUUUGGCAGCACUUAUACUAAAGUUAGAACAAUACAGAGAAGAUCAGCAUGGCCCCUGCGCAAGGAUGACACGCAGAUUCGUGAAGCGUUCCGUAUUUUGUGCAGUUCCCGAGUGUCCUACCACCCACGGCAGAUUAACUCUGAGGAAAUGAUAUGAGUCAGAGGAUGGUGUGUAGCACUGAAUAGUGAAAUUCUGAUUUUUCACUAUUAAAAAAAAAUUCAGUAGACUGGUACCCUACUAAUGAAUUAUCAGUUUAGUAUUUAUAUAUUUGAGACUACUAAAGAAUGUGUUUUUUAGACCCAACCAAAAUUACUAAGUGUGAGAAAUAUUAAGAGUCUCUUAAUAUGUAAUGUGAUGUAACUUUUAUCUAUGGUUUCUUAAUAAAGGACUUCUGAAAUAGUAAUGUUUCUUGUUACUUAGAUUAAUUGAAAACAUUUUUAAAGUUUUUAUUUAUUUGAUCUCUCUGCCCAGUGUGAGGCUUGAACUCACAACUUCGAGAUCAAGAGUUGCAUGCUCUUCCAACUAAAUCAGCCAGGUGCCCCUAGAUUAAUUGAAAUUUAAACCUGAGACCUUUGAAUAGACAUUAUGGGUGAAGCUCAAUGUGAUUUACACUUUAUUUUCUUUAGUUUAUCUAGUUUUCUGUUACUCACAAUAUAUAUUUAAGAUCACAAAAGUAAGAGAAGACAAUUUUUCCAGUACACAUUUUGCUAUUCUGCGGAACCUUCAGUAUUCAGAUUUCAAUCUCACCGAUGUAUUAUCACAUCUUACUAUUUUACUAUUUUUUAUUCCUUUGCAGUUUGACUCAUAAUGUGUCAUUCCAUGGUCAUCACAGUAGUGAUAGCUACAAUUUAUAUAGCACUUUACAGGAUACCGUUACAUAUAUUUUCUUAUUUAAUCUUUACAACAACCCUGUGAAAGGGGAAGUGCUAAUUUUUCUUUUUCACUUUAUAGAUGAAGAAACGAAGACAGAGAUUGAGACUUGUCUAGAGUAACACAAACCAGUAAGUGUUGGAAUUAAUGGAGGCAGGUAGUAAUGGGUGCCUUCUCCUAUGCCAGGGGCUUUCCUUGCUGCCAUGUACCUGGGUUCUAGGGACAAAGAGCCAAGAUGGUCAGGAACCAAAAAGGUAGUAGGUGGACUUAAUCGUACCCCAGCAAAAUGUGUUAUUCCUUCUCAUUUCUUUCUCUCUCUCUCUCUCUCUUUUUUUUUACACCAUUUAGUAGUGAUAACUUGAAAGAGCACAUAAUAUCUUUUUGUUGUUGUUGGAUAAGUGAAACUUAUUUUAAACAUAAGUUAUCCCUGAGGCACUAAGGAAGUAGAAAAUCUGGAGGGAAGUCUGUUGAAUUUCUCAGAGGGUAAUAGCUAUAGGGUCAGCUAAGGAAGGGAGAAAGUUACUAGUACAUGUGUGUAAUUGGAACUGAAAUUUUUAUGGCUCUCAUUAAGAUUUUUCAAAUCCUGUUUAAAGAUUGUAAUAUCAAUUUCAUAUAGCAAUCUUAGAGCUUAAGGGUGCUUAUCCACUUGUGGUUUUCUUUAGAUGACAGAACCGAGGUGCAGAGAAGUCGAAGCCUGCCUGGUGUCCCAGAGAGUGGCUGCAGGUAGAGCUUGUAGCUGCUGACUUCCUGAUUAGCGCCAUCUCUGCUUCCAACUCUUACCUCUUGGUAAGCUGUCCUUGAAGUACUCCACAGUCUUUUCUAUCUCUUUUUAUGUGUUUGAUCAACAUUGGCAUUUUGUAUCAAAAUGAACUUUAAAAUUCAUGAAAAUUACUGAUGCUUACGUGAUGAAAAUUAAAUUCUUUGUUUGAUUUCAGGUGAGUUAAUGUGGGAAAAAUCCUCGUAUUUUGAAGAUGUCUUGCAACAGUAUUGUUUCCUGUUUAAGUUACAAGUAACUUCAGUUUUUAGAGAAAAAAGAAAUUGGGUUUUUUUGUUAAAUCAUGCCAUCUGAACAGAAACAGUUAUUUUUUGAUGAAAAACAAACUAUUUUAAAAAAAGAUUAUGAUGUGAAAAAUGAGAUAGUUGAUACUAUUAGAUCAGUGCUUAGGCCAAAAAUUUCAGAAAGUCGUUUUCAUUAUGAACUAAAAAAUGUGAAAAUCGAUUUGCCGAAGAUAAAUAUUCCAAAUGAAGUCUUUUUGAAACAUGAAGUUGACAAAUACAGAAAGUUAUUUCAGCGUCAACCACAGACUGCAAGAAAAUCUAUCAGUAUAAAGACUGUAAGCUGUGUAGAGGAGUGUAUGCUGCUCCAGAAGUCUGAGAGAGUUGAAGAAGAGGGUUUAAAAAUGUCGGCAAAAAUACUCAAUUUCAACUGUUUAAAAUGCCGAGAUAGCACUCGAUAUAGCCCAAAUGAUUUACAGAAACACUUUCAGAUGUGGCAUCGUGGUGAAUUACCUUCAUAUCCUUGUGAAAUGUGCAGUUUUUCAGCAAAUGACUUCCAGAUAUUUAAACAACACAGACGGACACACAGAAGCACUUUAGUAAAAUGUGACAUUUGUAACAAUGAGAAUGUGUAUACUUUAUUAGACUUGACAAAGCAUUUUACAUCCACACAUUGUGUAAAUGGUAAUUUUCAAUGUGAAAAGUGCAAAUUCUCCACCCAGGAUGUUGGCACAUUUGUUCAGCACAUUCAUAGACAUAAUGAAAUCCAUUAUAAAUGUGGUAAAUGCCAUCAUAUAUGUUUUACCAAAGGAGAGCUUCAGAAGCACCUUCACAUUCAUUCUGGUACAUUUCCCUUCACUUGUCAAUAUUGUAGCUAUGGUGCCACUAAGAGAGAGCACCUCGUAAGACAUGUUAUAACUUUGCACAAAGAACACUUAUAUGCGAAAGAGAAACUGGAAAAAGACAAAUAUGAAAAAAGGAUGACAAAGACUUCAGGACUUAAGCUGAUACUGAAAAGAUACAGAAUAGAUGCAUCAAGGAAGACAUUCUGGAAACGCAAGAAGAUCAACAAUGGAAGCGACCGAAGUAUAGAAAAAAACACUCAAGUGCUAAAAAAACUGAACAAAACACAGGCUAAAUCUGAAGACCAGAGCCAUCUUGUUCAAGAACAUUUAAAUGAAGAAAAGGACGAAAGACCACACUGUGAGAAUAACGAUAAACCUGCUGAGUUAGGGUCAGAAAAGCCAACUCUUCUGUCCACUGGGCAAUAUAAUAGAGCUGAAGAGGGAUCACAUUCGACUCUAGGUUUCUUGAAGACUGCUGUACAAGGACCUACAGUGUUGAUGGUGAAAAAUAAUAGAAUAACAAUUCCUGCUAACUACAGUGCUGAUUUUAUGGGUUUUAAGAUGGUGGAUGGAAAACAACAUAUUGUAAUAAAAUUGUUGCCUACCAGUAAACAGAAUUUAUAUUCACCAGGCUCACAGCCAGGUGCUGCAAAGGAUGGUACUGGCAAUUUGCAGCCCCAGACACUGGACACUACUGGAUUUUUAGCAGGAGUAACAACUGAGUUAAGUGACACCGUUUACAUGAAAGCAACUACUCCAUUUUCGUGCUCAUCUCCUCUACUUUCAGGGAAAGUCCUAUCAGAAAAAGAAAUGGCUUUGCUAUCUCAAACGGGUAAUAUGCUUCAAACAGUGGAUGAUGAAAAAAGUGUGUCGUCUUUGUCAGCAUCAGGAUUGGUUACAGCAUCAGUGAAUUUGGCCACAAAAGUUGAAACAAAAGAUAAUAUUGACUUAUGGGGAAGUUACAUUCCUCAGAGUCACCCUGAGAUACCAGGUGCUGCCAUUAGAAGUCCAGAUAAAGUCAACUCUGCUACCAAACAAAAUGCAUACAACAGCGGAGAUAUGCAUAACUAUUGCAUUAAUUAUGUCAGCUCUGAGUUACCUGUUGAAUCUUCCAACCACGGAUCAUUACCCUUUCAUAAUUACUCAAAAGUAAAUAAUUCUAAUAAACGUCGUAGGUUUUCAGGAACAGCGGUGUCUGAAAAAGAACCCUCAUCAAGCAAAACAGUUGUUCAACAACCAAUAAGUGAAUCGGUUUUAUCUUUGGUGCGAAAGGAGAGCUCAAAUCCAGAUAGCAUGUUAGCAUCUCUUAGCCUGUUAAAUACUAAAGAUGGAACUUUAAAAAUGCAAGCUGAAAUUGAAGAACAAUGUGUGUUAGAAAAAGGACAAAACAUUGACGGACAGAACUUCUACACUAAUGAAAAUCAAAAUUUAGAGAAUGUGACUGAAAAAUCUAAGUGGGAUGACAUUUCUAAUGUUGAGUCACCUAUGAUGCCUAGAAUCACAUCUGUUUUCUCUCUCCACAGCCAACAGGCAUCAGAAUUUUUGCCCCCUGAAGUAAACCAGUUACUUCAGGAUGGGUUAAAAACAAAAUCUGAUGUAAAACAGGACUCUAGUAAGACUCCAGAUAAAGGCCUGCCACUUCAUUGUGACCAGUCCUUUCAGAAACCUGAGGGAGAAGGCAAAAUAGUUGAAUCUUCAAAAGACUUCAAAGUACAAGGUGUCUUCCCAAUUCCAUCUGGUGGUAUAGGGAUUAAUGUGCCUAUAAAUGAUCUGAAUUUAAAGUGUAGUGGAAAAGAAAAACAAAAUCUGUCAAUAUCACAAGAUGUGAGAGAUUCAGAAAAGGCACCUAGAAUUUCAGGUAUUGGCACAUUACUUAAGACUCAGUCAGAUGCAAUAAUAACACAGCAGCUCGUAAAAGAUAAACUGCGAGCCACUACACAAAAUUUAGGUUCUUUAUAUAGGCAGAGUCCACUUCUAAAUUCAGAACCAAAAAAAGCUAUAUUUGUUCAGACUCCAAAAGGCUUUUUUGUACCACUGCACAUUGCUAACAAGCCUGGAUUACAUGUUGUUUCAGGAAGACCACUUCCAUUGGUUAACACACAAGGUGUACCUGCUUCUCUUCUUUUAAACAAGAAACCCGGGAUGAUUUUAACAUUUAAUCAUGGGAAACUUGAAGGUGUUUCCACUGUCAAAACUGAGAGUGCUCAAGCUUGUGGAACUACAGCUAAGGAGCUUUGCAGAACACCUUUUUUAAAGGUGGAACCAAACAGUAAUUGUCUGACACCUGCACUAUGUUCCAGCAUUGGCAGUUGCUUGAGCAUGAAAAGUAGUUCCGAAAAUACUCUGCCGUUAAAAGGCCCGUACAUUAUUAAAACGUCAGCAAGUUCUUCAGUGAAAGCUGUUCCUACUCCUAAUGUAGCUUCUGAGCACCAGGGCACCAAGUUGAAUAUUUUGGAAUCAGUAAAACAGCAGAAUGAGAUUUUUCCCAAACCACCUCUUUAUACCCUCUUGCCUGAUGGCAAACAAGCUGUUUUUUUAAAGUGUGUGAUGCCAAAUAAGACUGAGCUGCUUAAGCCUAAAUUAGUCCAAAAUAGUACGUAUUAUCAAAACAUACAGCCAAAGAAACCUGAAGGAACACCACAAAAAAUAUUGCUGAAAAUUUUUAACCCUGUUUUAAAUGUGACUGCUGCUAACAAUCUGUCUGUAAACAACUCUGCAUCCUCAUUGCAGAAAGACAAAGUACCAUCUAAUCAGACUACAGGAGGAGAGCAGAGAGAGCCAGAAUCUUCUAGAGAUGCCUUACCCUUCUUACUAGAUGAUAUGAUGCCAGCAAAUGAAAUUGUGAUAACUUCUACUGCGACAUGCCCAGAAUCUUCUGAGGAACCAGUGUGUUUCACUGACCGUUCAGAUACCAGGGUGUUAAGGUGUAAAACAAAUUGUACAAUUGAGAGAAGCUUCAAUAGAAAAAAGACUUCCAAAAAAAAUUUUCCAAGAAUAAAAACUCAUGUAAGAAGUAAAGAUUCUGAAACUGCCUUUGUACCUAGAAACAGGAACUGUAAACGAAAGUGUAGGGAGAGUUACCAAGAACCUCCAAGAAAAAAGGCAACAUUACAUAGAAAGUGUAAAGAAAAGGCAAAACCCGAAGCUGUCCGUGAAUCGUUUGGAUUUAGCAGACCGAGGCUUUCAAAAGAUGCAGUCAGAACUUUGCGGCUUUUCCCAUUUAGUUCCACACAGCUUGUGAAAUGUCCUAGGAGAAACCAGCCAGUUGUAGUUUUGAAUCAUCCUGAUGCAGAUGCCCCAGAAGUAGUAAGUGUAAUGAAAACUAUUGCUAAAUUUAAUGGACGUGUACUUAAGGUUUCAUUGUCAAAAAGAACUAUCGAUGCUUUACUGAAACCGGUUUGUGGUAAUGCUUCACAAACAAUUUAUGAUGAUUUUUCCAAGAGGCAUAAAACAUUUAAACCUGUUAGUUCUGUGAAAGAAAGAUUUGUGCUAAAAUUAACACUCAAAAAGAUGAGCAAAAACAAUUAUCAGAUCGUGAAAACUACCUCUGAAAAUGUUCCAAAAGCUAAAUUUAACUGUUGGUUUUGUGGUAGAGUAUUUGACAAUCAGGAUGCUUGGGCUGGUCAUGGGCAGAGACAUUUAAUGGAAGCUACUCGUGAUUGGAAUAUAUUAGAAUAAUUUACUGUAGUUACCAAGGAACAGAGAAGUAAAAGGGUCUUAGAAGAAAACAGUGGGUUGAAUUACCUUAAGGUAAUUGUCUACUUCAGUAUAUACCUAAAAUUGAACAUCGGAAAGUAGGCUGUAUUUCCAUGGGAGACUAGAAAAGUUUUAUGUGUGAUAGUUGCAAAUGCUGUCACUGGACACAUAAGCUUUGAAAGAAACUAAUCACAGCACAGAUGUACCUUGAUUUAGUUUUUUUUAAGUGUGUUGUUGGGAAGUUAGGGCUAAAGAAAAUUUUGAUAAAACAGUUUUCCCAGUUUAGUUAUUUAGGGACUCUUAGUAGAGGGUAACGGCUGACAACUGCAUUCCCUCUCUUCUUCCACCAGCCUUAGGAAUCUGAUAAGUGUAGCUCCUCUGAAGAUGGAGAGAGCUCUUUCACCAUGGAGCUGAAGGAGUUCCUCAUCAUUUGUGAAGAUACACUAAGAGAGCUUGAGUAAAGAAUUUAACUUUACAUCUGCUUGAUAGAGCUGUUUUGAAGGGUAUUAGGUUCCUUAGAGUAAGUACAGUUAUACCUCUUGAUGCUUGAAGAGAGUUUUUGACAAGUACAUCUUUUUUUCUCUUACGCUGUGUCCCACAUCAAGGAUUGGAAUACCCUCCCAAGGUGAUUUUCUUUUUCUAAAUGGCUGUGUCAAGCACUGUAGUAGAUGAGAAGCCUCAAAAGAAGAAUUAAACUCUCUGGGUCUAGUUUGAAGUCUAGUGAAGGAACUUGAACAUUUUUCUGAAUUUGAUGAUAAUCUCCAGUGAUUCUCUUGCACAGAACUAUGCUUAUUUGAUUUAAAUUGUUUGUCCCUCUUAAACCAAAUGGCCCAUUUUUUACUUGGUUGCCAUGCAUUUAAAAAGUGGACCAUAGACGCACUUCCAAGGGAAUGGCUUUUCUUGAAAAUAAAAAAUUAUUCUCCAGAAACCAUAUUUUGAAACAAGAUUAGCAAAGCAAAUCAGAUUUUUGCUGUUUAAUUACUGUUAGGUGUCUAAACAUGUACUCUCUGGGACAAACCAUUUUUGUUAGCACCUUUUCAGUAUGAUUGACAGCCCAAAGCAGAUUCUUUACUGUUUGUUGGCAGUUGAAAUAAAGAAGCAUUAAUAGUGGAUUCAGUGACAGUGCAUAAAAUUUCAGGACAGAUUCCUAGGGGACAUACCUAGCAGGUAGGGUUUUAAAAUGGAUAUUUUCAUGACAACGACAGAAUCAUUGACUGAAACUUCACCGUGUAAGUUUGGAUCAAAUUUUGUUGGAUCAUUGGAUAACGGAGUCCUUGUAUUACAAAUUACUGUAUAAUUUUUGUUAUAUUGUUACUACAAGUGUUACAACAUUUUCAUUGACUGAAAACUUCAGGGCUUCUUUUCUGUAUAUAAGAAAGAAUUUAAACCUGUACAUAUUUUUGUACCUUUCAGUUUGUUAUGUAAAUUUUGCACAGAAAAUUUUUGACAUAAAAAGUUUAUUUUCCUUCAGUUUAGUUCUGUGCAUGCACUAAUAAAACUGGUUGUUUAAUUUAAAAGGAAUAUGUAAGACUUUACCCAUGUCCUUUUCUUGGUUUUUAUUUUAGAUGUAGAAUUUUUUUUUUUUUGGGUAAAUUCAUUUUUCAGGGAUUGAACACUAUUGUUAGCAAGUGCCUAAAAGAUGUGAAACAGUUUACAUAUGUCAACUGUAACAGUAGGUCCCAAAUGGGCCCAUUCCCCCAAAAGUUUUAUUUUAAAGAAAGCCAUACAUAGAUGCUUCAAGCUAUCUUGCUAUGCACAUUAUACAUGUACUUUUUUUGUGCAGUUUGUCUACUUUCCUAGUGAAGUAUUUUUUGUAUAAAACCUGUUAUAAUUGUGUUUCUUAAAUUGAGCCUAAGAAUGGAGUUGAUUGGAAAUAUACAGUAUAUAUUAAUAACGUAUAUGGUGUUUAAAGAAUGAUAAGUAUUGUUAAUUUCUGUAAUGAAAAUUUUCUUCAAUUAAAUUUAUCUUAAGUUUGUGUUUACACAGUAAUUUUUUUUACUGUACUGAAGUCAAAUGGGAAUUUUAUUCUAAAGGGAAAUACUUCUAUUUCAAAAAAGUUUGUUUCCUUUUAUGCUAGGGAACUGUGUCAAAUAAAGUGUGGAUUUGCCCCCCCAAAAUCAUAGAUGGAACUUUGUUUGAGAACAAACACUUAACACCAUAAAGUUACUAUAGUUAUGCUGAUGAGGAAAAUCAUAGAGAGGCUUAUGCUCUUUAGUACCCUAACAGCAAUAGAAUUGAAAUGCUCUGCUGUUCUGGGUAGAUGUAUUAUAACUCAUUGCCUUCCAUGAAUAGAGAAGAGAGAGCAGCAACUAUCAUGCCAAUGUUUGCAGGAUUAUAAAAACACAUUUCAGAAUAGCCAUGCUGGUAAAAAUCUAAUGUUGUGAUGCAUACUUUUUGCCUUAAAGUUUUAAAAGCCAUUUUAAAAAGCUUCAUGCCCCAGAUACUCUAGUUAGCCCCUUUUCUGAUUUGUUAGGUUAUUCUGAAGAAGGCAAACUUCCUUGGAACCUCUCUCUUGUGGAGUGGAAAAUCCAAAAUCAAAACCCACCAUCCUUUCUUUUCUCCUAGCUGAAACUGAACUAAAGAUUGUUCUCUAAAAUAGGAAUAGCCACUAAUUUGAGGUUGUGACUACACUGGAAGGGUUUUAUUUUUGCAAUCCAACUUCUUGGUCAGGAAUUUGUUUCAUUUUUCCCUAGUUGUCCAUCUCCAAGGAAAUGGACCUAUUUGCAUUCGAUUGAAAAAAUAGUUUAACUUUCAAAGAGUUUACCUUUCAUCUUACUAAGCACUCAGUGUAUUGAAAUGUGAUAUAUAUAUAUGUGAUAUAUAU